Molecule: ribosomal RNA, 362 nt
Filed under: uncultured bacterium
Lineage: Bacteria
Description: bacterial SSU rRNA
Rfam family: Bacterial small subunit ribosomal RNA
Source: RNAcentral
AACGAACGCUGGCGGCAUGCCUAACACAUGCAAGUCGAACGGGAUCCUAGCUUGCUAGGUGAGAGUGGCGGACGGGUGAGUAACACGUGGGAAUCUGCCUUUUUGGUUCGGGAUAACCGCGGGAAACUGCGGCUAAUACCGAAUGCCCUCGAGAGAGGAAAGAUUUAUCGCCAGAAGAGGAGCCCGCGUCCGAUUAGGUAGUUGGUGGGGUAAAGCCUACCAAGCCGACGAUCGGUAGCUGGUCUGAGAGGAUGAUCAGCCACACUGGACUGAGAUACGGCCCAGACUCCUACGGGAGGCAGCAGUGGGGAAUAUUGGACAAUGGGGGCAACCCCGUGAUCCAGCAAUGCCGCGUGAGUGAU